GACGAACGCUGGCGGCGUGCUUAACACAUGCAAGUCGAACGCUGAAGCUUGGUGCUUGCACUGGGUGGAUGAGUGGCGAACGGGUGAGUAAUACGUGAGUAACCUGCCCUUGACUCUGGGAUAAGCCUGGGAAACUGGGUCUAAUACUGGAUACGACAUGUCACCGCAUGGUGGUGUGUGGAAAGGGUUUUACUGGUUUUGGAUGGGCUCACGGCCUAUCAGCUUGUUGGUGGGGUAUUGGCUCACCAAGGCGACGACGGGUAGCCGGCCUGAGAGGGUGACCGGCCACACUGGGACUGAGACACGGCCCAGACUCCUACGGGAGGCAGCAGUGGGGAAUAUUGCACAAUGGGCGGAAGCCUGAUGCAGCGACGCCGCGUGAGGGAUGACGGCCUUCGGGUUGUAAACCUCUUUCAGCACGGAAGAAGCGAAAGUGACGGUACGUGCAGAAGAAGCGCCGGCUAACUACGUG
Molecule: ribosomal RNA, 472 nt
Filed under: uncultured bacterium
Lineage: Bacteria
Description: partial 16S ribosomal RNA
Rfam family: Bacterial small subunit ribosomal RNA
Source: RNAcentral